This 252-nucleotide ribosomal RNA is filed under the name uncultured Bacteroidales bacterium. Its description in RNAcentral is "partial 16S ribosomal RNA". It matches the Rfam family "Bacterial small subunit ribosomal RNA", at positions 524 to 776 of the family's 1533-position model. The record is from RNAcentral. Lineage: Bacteria; Pseudomonadati; Bacteroidota; Bacteroidia; Bacteroidales.
UACGGAGGAUGCGAGCGUUAUCCGGAUUUAUUGGGUUUAAAGGGUGCGUAGGCGGAUUUGUAAGUCAGCGGUAAAAAUGCGGUGCUCAACGCCGUAUCGCCGUUGAAACUGGCUGGCUUGAGUUGGGGAAAGGCAGGCGGAAUGCGCGGUGUAGCGGUGAAAUGCAUAGAUAUCGCGCAGAACCCCGAUUGCGAAGGCAGCAUACCGGCGCGCAACUGACGCUCAUGCACGAAAGCGUGGGUAUCGAACAGG